This 465-nucleotide ribosomal RNA is filed under the name uncultured bacterium. RNAcentral describes it as "partial 16S ribosomal RNA". It matches the Rfam family "Bacterial small subunit ribosomal RNA", at positions 338 to 795 of the family's 1533-position model. The record is from RNAcentral.
CCUACGGGAGGCUGCAGUGGGGAAUAUUGCGCAAUGGGCGAAAGCCUGACGCAGCGACGCCGCGUGAGGGAUGAAGGUCUUAGGAUCGUAAACCUCUGUCAGCAGGGAAGAACGGUCACUGUGCUAAUCAGCAGUGACUUGACGGUACCUGCAAAGGAAGCACCGGCUAACUCCGUGCCAGCAGCCGCGGUAAUACGGAGGGUGCGAGCGUUAAUCGGAAUUACUGGGCGUAAAGCGCUCGUAGGCGGUAUGUCAAGUCAAGGGUGAAAUCCCCGCGCUCGACGUGGGAACUGCCUUUGAUACUGGCAAACUGGAGUGUGUGAGAGGAUAGUGGAAUUCCAGGUGUAGGAGUGAAAUCCGUAGAUAUCUGGAGGAACAUCAGUGGCGAAGGCGACUAUCUGGCACAUAACUGACGCUGAGGAGCGAAAGCGUGGGUAGCAAACAGGAUUAGAUACCCUGGUAGUC